GGUUCUACAAGGGUUAAUUUGUUGGAACUACCUUGGGGAUAGAAAUAUUUGGAAGCUCUGGAAUUCCUGCAUCUCCAAGUCCUCCCUCAAUGAAAUUGAAGAAGCACCUUUCUACCCCGUUAGAAACAAGGCUACAGAAAAGCUGUCCACUAGAUGUCACUGGUACUUCACUGAAAUAAGACUGAAAGCGCCGUGUCUGGUAGUCUUAGAGGUGAUGCACAGACUUUUCAGUGCUCUGUGCAAGAUGAAAGCAAGCAAGUGGAUAAUCUUUUCUGGAGAUGAUUCCAUAUUUUUACUCCAUUAGGAAUAAUUUCCUGAGGUGUGGUGGCCAGCUGUGCACACAGUGUAAACAAUAGAGGAUGCAAGUACUUGGUUUUGGCUCUGAAACCAGUGAAGCUAGGCAUGCUUAACUCCAGGCAUAUGACUACUCCAGUUAACAUUUGUAACACUUUCCACAAGCUUAAAGAUUUUCCCUGGUGUGUGAACUCAGUGAACUCACGUCCUAUUGCAUUUUAAUUUCAUCAUGCGGACUCUCUGACUUCAAAGCCUGCUCCAGGUCUAGAGAGAAGUUCACGAUCCACUCCAUUUUGCUACAGCAACAUGUACAGUUUGUUGUGUGCAGCCACAAAAUAGAGAGAACUCUUGAAAAAGAUCAAGAAAGAAUUUAAAAAGUUACUAUACAUUUUGAAGGAUAUACUGCAUUUGUAUCUGGAUAAUGAAUACACUUAGCUAGGUCUUACUGUUAAGGUAAGGAAUACUAAUUUUUAAGGAAAAAAAAAUUGCGACCUGUCAAAAUUCACUCCAAGUCUGAGGGAUAGAUCACAUUUCAUAUAACUGUUAGGUCGGUCUGUCAGUCAGUUUGGAUGGAAAUCUAAUAAGCGCAGUACUAUCUCAUCACUUCGGAAUCAAGCUCAAGCAGUUUGUGUGGCCAUCCUUGGAGAUAAAACUCACUGAUGUGUGAAUUCAAUUAUUUCACAGAUGUAAAACUUCCCAAAUCACUCCCAAGUUCCUGUGGUGUAGGUGUACCCAUAUAUCCUCUGUUGCUUCAGAGAGUGUUGACUGUACUUUUACUGUGGAAAAUGAGAAGAAAGAAAUAAGAUUUGUUUCACUGGAAGAAGAUACAUAGGAUGGAUCUGGUGACAAUUCAAGAGAGUAGAUUUCUAAUUCCCUUGCCAUGGGCUUAUUGAAAGUAUCCACAUAGCUUGUGAAACUGUAUGAUCACUAUCACAGUUCUGUAUAGGAAUGGCAAUGGAGAAUUCAACAAAGAAUACUAAGGAGGGAGCUUUGGUUUUUGGCCUGAACAUCCCUAAGGAAUGAUAAGAAACUCUGGUUACUGUGAUCUUCACUAGAAACUGGAUGGGUCAAAGUAUACAGACAGAUUUAGACAACAUGCAAUUGCAAAAAUCAUUCUUAUAUGCAUUUGCACUUACAGCAUUUACUGUGCAGUAGCAAUGAUUUGGCCAUUAGCGGGACAACAAAUACAAGGGGGAAACAGUGGCCAAUACUGAGCAUACCUGAACUCUGUUUCUGGAUGUGCGUGUCCAGAUCACUCCUUAGACCCGUUUCCACGAGAAUCUGCAAAGGUAAACUACUGAUCCAGUGCUGAAAUUGCCAAUAGAACUGCUGGGCAUUCAAAAGUUUGGCAGAACAGGGUAUUUAGAAACAUAAAAAUAGGAGUAGUGCAUAAACGCAGGAGCUUACUUCAGAAGUCUUUACUUGAGCAAAGAAAAUAUCAGUUCCUUGUGAGUUUUGCAUGUUGUGAAGGCUUGCUGAUAGGCCUGUGGCUAUUUUGUUGUUUGUUUACUCAAAAGCAAUUUGUUUAUUUCUGCCAUAUCUUACUGUAUAUCGUUAUUACUCAAUGGCAGCUAUGUAUUAUUAUUAUUAUUGAAUGGCAGGUGAUUAUAAAAACAGUCCUAUGGUGAUAUAAAUCAAGUGUCUGGCUCUGUGUGUUCACUUGCAUUAUCUGAAUUUCUAAACUUGCUUUUUUUAUGUGCUAUGUGCAAGCCUCUCCUCCUCUCAUAUCUGCACAAGGAGAUUUAUUUGGCAGUAAAAAUGUCCACUUAAAUUGAAAGUUCCAUUAUUUACUUUGUAGAAGUGAAUAUCCUUCAAUAAAUCAGUCUUCUUUCCCUUUUCUAUUAUUAUUUAUUGUUUACAUUGCAUUAACAGGCAUGUCUUCCUUCUGUAAAGCCUUCCAUCUUUAAUCCACCAAAGUGGGGAAAACAUGAUGUUGAAAUACAGUUGAAACAAAGCAGCAGUUGAACCUCUGCAUUUAUUCAGCACUGAUGGGUGAGGGGCUGCUCUGUGUAUUCAUUUAGCAUCAUAAACUGCUGUUGUUUGCUUGCUUUCUGAGGAGAGAAUUACUUCUUUAAAGGGAUACUUGAUUCCGAGGAGGACAACAGUCUGUGAAAGAGAUGCAUUGCUGCUGCUGCAGUUCAAGAUGGAAUGGCAGCAAGCAGACUGCUUGCUGCAGCAAAAGUCCUGCAUAAACCUCCAGGACAGCUCCAAAUACCAUGUGCAACAAUCCAGGUGCCCAUCUCUAACCCUCGACACCUAUGUGUUUUAAAAGCAUGACUCAAGUGUCUUCUAAGAGGAGGAUUUAGGCCCUUGGUCACAGCUGUAUACCCUGAACUUGGCAGUGCUCUGGCUUGGCGUAGGAAUGAGGAAUUACAUGCACUCCAUAAGGAACGUUUCUUCAGGUUAAGCAUUAUAAUCUCUCAUCAUUGGUGUAUGUGAUGUGAAGAGCCUCUUUCUCCACCAUUUCAGAUUCUCUUUGUUAGUGGGAUGUAUGAUACAUAGAUUUUGGGUGUUUAUUAAUUUCUACAUUGAAGAAGGUGAUUGCUUACAGAUGUUUGCUAUCUAAUUAAAGUGUAUUCUUAUUUAACUUUGUUGAUGUCGCAGGUGACUGUUCCAUGGUCUCUGGGAGUUGUUUUACCUCUUUGUCUAUGCUUGUACUGCUGAAAAUCCCACUCAGGCGGCCUGGUGAUUAAAGGAGCCCGACUAAAUGUCAUCUAAAGAAAAACAGAACAAUGCUGUACAAAUGUUUGCAAAACCUACUAAUCUGCUGGCAUGCUGUGGUGCGAUGCACACUAUGUCACGUGGCAAGAAUCAUCACUCUGCCUCCACAGCUUUCCCUUCUGUUGAAACUGCUUUCAACCCAGAUGUUAUUUCUGUCUUUAUUUUUGGCAACAGGGAGAACAAGUUUAAGUUCUGAAAGGCAGGCAAUAAGGGACACAGAACUGCCUGGUGAAGGGGUCAGAAAGGACAGGCUAGUUGAGAGCAGUCAGGACUGUUAAUGCAUUCCUCUUCCCUCUCCUCACAGGGCAGAUGAAGGCAAAAUCCUUCAUGGAGCCCAGAGAUCGCUUCCCCAUGCUUUCAUCUCAGCCCCCCUGUAAGCUUCAUGUCAAAGCCAGCCUCUUCCUGCUGGAGGACAACUGGAUGUGAUUCAUUUUAGAAGCUGUCAGUGCUUCUACUGUACCUGCUCUGUGGAGAUGCUGUUGAGUGACAUGAAACACUUUUUCCCUGAACAGGAUUAGUGAACCUUCUCCCCACAUUGCCCUGCUUCCCCUUCUGCCUCCAUCUCAUGCUACGUGGCCAAAGCUGUGCUGCUGGAUACCAAAAUAGCAUUGGAUCAUUUCUUCUGUAUUUACUUCUGACUGAGGCGCUCUGUUAUUUGAGGAAAAUUACACUUUUUGAAGAGAAAUUUGACC
Long non-coding RNA from Coturnix japonica (Japanese quail), 3707 nucleotides. RefSeq lists it as uncharacterized. NCBI's taxonomy places the organism in Eukaryota, Metazoa, Chordata, Aves, Galliformes, Phasianidae. The record is from RefSeq and is a predicted model, not a curated record.